UCCUACGGGGCGCAGCAGUCGGGAAUAUUGCGCAAUGGAGGAAACUCUGACGCAGUGACGCCGCGUGCAGGAAGAAGGUUUUCGGAUCGUAAAACCCUGUUGUUAGAGAAGAAAGUGCGUGAGAGUAACUGUUCACGUUUCGACGGUAUCUAACCAGAAAGCCGCGGCUAACUACGUGCCAGCAGCCGCGGUAAUACGUAGGUGGCAAGCGUUAUCCGGAUUUAUUGGGCGUAAAGGGAACGCAGGCGGUCUUUUAAGUCUGAUGUGAAAGCCUUCGGCUUAACCGGAGUAGUGCAUUGGGACAU
Molecule: ribosomal RNA, 305 nt
Filed under: uncultured bacterium
Lineage: Bacteria
Description: bacterial SSU rRNA
Rfam family: Bacterial small subunit ribosomal RNA
Source: RNAcentral